CUCCAUGAGCAGAGAGGGACCCUGUACCCAGAGCAGAGCGGAGUGCUCGAGGAGCAAACCACGGGGCUCAGAGGAGGGCCCAGGGCUCCCACUCCUGAGAAGUGGCUUCCCAGCCCCUGGGGUGGGACACUUGUGCCAUGGGCUGGGGUGCCCCUCUGGGUGGCUCACAGCCUUGCUGUCCGUGCUGGCCAGGCUCCCUGAGGAGGUCCCCAGCUUCCAGCCACGACUGUUUGAGUGCUCCAGCCACAUGGGCUGCCUGGUCCUCGCAGAAGUGGUGUUCUUCAGCCAGGAGGACCUGGACAAGUAUGACAUCAUGUUGCUGGACACCUGGCAGGAGAUCUUCCUGUGGCUUGGGGAAGCUGCAAGUGAGUGGAAGGAGGCGGUGGCCUGGGGCCAGGAGUACCUGAAGACCCACCCAGCAGGGAGGAGCCCGGCCACACCCAUCGUGCUGGUCAAGCAGGGCCAUGAGCCUCCCACCUUCAUUGGAUGGUUCUUCACUUGGGACCCUUACAAGUGGACUAGCCACCCGUCCCACAAGGAAGUG
Molecule: small RNA, 544 nt
Filed under: Pan troglodytes (chimpanzee)
Lineage: Eukaryota; Metazoa; Chordata; Mammalia; Primates; Hominidae
Description: retained intron
Source: RNAcentral